This 215-nucleotide long non-coding RNA is filed under the name Pelobates cultripes (western spadefoot toad). The record is from RNAcentral. Lineage: Eukaryota; Metazoa; Chordata; Amphibia; Anura; Pelobatidae.
CCAGUCUUCACAAAGUGUCUUUUAUCUGAAAAGACAGUGUGCUUACAUUAAAAAGCCUACAGGCACAGGCUAUAGACACCAGAACCACUACAUUAAGUUGUAGUGCUUCUAGUGACUAUAGUAUCCAUUUAAUGUGAGGUAAAUUAGAGAUUAGUGCCACUAAUAAUAUAUUGGAUUGCCUACUUACCACCAGAUGAGGACAAGAGGCUGAUGAU